Molecule: long non-coding RNA, 3588 nt
Organism: Malaclemys terrapin pileata
Lineage: Eukaryota; Metazoa; Chordata; Testudines; Emydidae
Exons: 3
Source: RefSeq, a predicted model, not a curated record
GACGCGCCCACUGAGGUGGUAACUUAUUUGUUUUUCCUCCUUGUGCCGGGAUUAGUACCGAGAGAAAAGAAAUCAAAUGUCAGAGUUUACUCCCCUCCUUGGAUGGAAAGCGAGCGAGUGCCGUGAGCCCGCGAGCAUUGUUGAUGCAAGUCAGGAGCCAUCCAGUUAGCAGUGGAGCAGUCGCUAUUGUCAGUGAAAUAAAUGUCUGGUUUGGUGAGGGCUCUGCGUAGGGCCCCUCUGGCCCCAGGUAGGGACGGCCCGUUAGCUGGGGCUGGGUUUGUAAGAAAUGGUUCCUAACCAGCUGUGGUUAUGAGAGAGACAAGGUCCCUAUUUUCAGGGGCUGCUUAUUUCUCUGCACAGUUGCAGUGUGUCCUCGGCAGCGGAAGGUUGCAUCCAGGCAGAUGACUCCAGGUGGUGAGUUGCUUCCCUUGCUCCCAUUUUUUUUCUUUGUCUCUCUCUUGUCUAGUGUGUUGACCAACUUUCUCACUCUCUUUCCUCUCCUCUCCUCAUGCCGUCUCCCUUCGUAGGACCACGGGCAUCCGUGCUAGGUGUGCAUCCUAGCCAGGUCUCGGGAGCCACGGAGAAGUAGGAGCGGAUGAAAACCAUGCGGGGCAGUGGGCGCUAAAGUGGAGCUGUGAUUGUCUGUGGUUACUCGGUCUCUGUUCAUCGAGUGGGGCUGAUGUAGAUGGGACUGGAGAGGGAGGCAGGGAUGAGGACAAGACUCGACGCACCAAUAGAGCUCUGUGUAGUGAUAGUUCUUGCUUGACUUUAUUAGUUUGCAGAGGAAUCGUCCAGGAGCCCUAGCCGGACAAGAAUAUGGCAGAAGUGGACCUGAGCAGUCUGGACAUCCUUCUAAGGAGACAUGAAUAGGCCUCAUGUUUCCGCCUUCUGCAUCGCUGGCUGUGAGUAAGAGGACCGAGGGAAAAGAAGUCACGCCUCAGAGUCUCAAGCCCUCAUGUGAUGGAAAGCGAGCCAGAGCAACGAAACCGUGAGCAUUGUUGAUGCCACGCAAAAGCCGUCCUACUGGGAGGGGAACGGCCGCCACUCUCAGUGAGAUAAGUGUCUGGUUUGGUGAUUGCUGUGUUAACAGCCCACCUUGCUCCUGCUAGGGACGCCACAUGAGCUGGGGCUUGGUUUGUAAGAAAAUGUUCUUGACUAGCUGUGGUUAUGAGGGGAGCAAGGUCCUCAUUUUCAGGGUCUGCUCAUUUCUCUGGCCAGGAGUGGUGUCUGCUACGCAGCGGAAGGUUGCAUCUAGGAGGAUGACUCCAGGUGGUGAGUUGCUUGCCUUCCUCCCAGUCUGUCUCUCUCUCUUCUCUAAUGUGUUGGCCAACUUUCUCACUGACCUCUCCUCUCCUCUCCUCUCCUCUCCUCUCCUCUCCUUGUGCCGUCUCCCUUCGUAGGACACGGGCAGGCAUGCUAGGUGUGCAUCCUAGCCAGGUCUCGGGAGCCAUGAAGAAGUAGGAGCAGACGAAAACCAUGUGGGGCAGUGAGCGCUAAAGUGGAGCUGUGACUGUCUGUGUUUACUCGGUCUCUGUUCAUCGAGUGGGGCUGAUGUAGAUGGGACUGGAGAGGGAGGCAGGGAUGAGGGCAAGACUCGAUGCACCAAUAGAGCUCUGUGUAGUGAUAGUUUUUGCUUGACUUUUAGUUUGCAGAGGAAUCAUCCAGGAGCUCUAGCCGGACAAGAAUAUGGCAGAAGUGGACCUGAGCAGCCUGGACAUCCUUCUAAGGAGACAUGAAUAGUCCUCAUGUUUCUGCCUUCUGCAUCACUGGCUGUGAGUAAGAGGUCAGUGCUUUUGAAUUCCUCAUCUGUACUCACUGUAGUUUUCUUCACAGGCCGUGUGCUUCCUCGUUGGGUAUGAGGUUAUGGGAUUAAGGCUGGGGAAGGGAUAAGAAUCUCCUGAGGAAAGUGAGUAUUUUGAGUGCCGUUACAAUGGGUACCUUCUAGUUGCAGUUGUAACGUAGUAAUGGGAGAUGGGUUGAGGGUGGAGAUGUGAAAUGAAGAGACUACGCGACAUUGCAGACGGAGAUGCUAAUAUUUUUGGUUUUCCCACCCUCUGUUAGCUUUAGUACCAAGGAAAACGAAGUCACACGUCAGAGUCUACUGCCCUCAUGCGAUGGAAAGCGAGCAAGAGCAUUGAGACUCUGAGCAUUGUUGAUGCCACACAAAAGCCGUCCAUCUGGGAGCUGAGGAGACGCCGCUAUCAGUGAAAUAGGUGUCUGGUUUGGUGAGGGCUCUGUUUACGCCCAACCUGAGUCCAGGAUGGGAAGCCCACUAAGUUAGGGCUGGGUUUGUAUGAAAAGGUUCCUGACUAACUGUGGUUACGAGGGGGAAAAGGUCCCUAUUUUCAGAGGUUGCUCGUUUCUCUGGUCAGGAACAGUACCUCCUCCGGAGUGGAAGGUUGGAUUCAGGAGGAUGACUCCAGGUGGUCAGUUGCUUACCUUCCUGCCACUUUUUUUCCUUCUCUCUCUCUCUCUCUUCUCUAGUGUGUUGGCCAACUUUCUCAUUCUCUUUUCUCUCUGUUCCUCGUGCCGUCUCCCUUCGUAGGAGACGGGCAGGCUUGCUAGGUGUGCAUCCCCGCAGGCCAGGUUUCGGGAGCCAUGGAAAAGUAGGAGGGGAUGAAAAUCAUGCAGGGCUGUGUCUGUUGGUGUUAACUCGGUCUCUGUUCAUCGAGUGGGGCUGAUGUAGAUGGGACUGGAGAGGGAGGCAGGGCUGAGAGCAAGAUUUCCAGCACCAAUAGAGCUCUGUGUAGUGAUAGUUUUUGCUUGGCUUUAUUAGUUUGCAGAGGAAUUGUCCAGGAGCCCUAGCCGCACAAGAAUAUGGCGGAAGUGGACCUGUGCAGCCUGGACAUCCUUCUAAGGAGACAUGAAUAGUCCUCAUGUUUCUGCCUUCUGCAUCGCUGGCUGUGAGUCAGAGUACCAAGGGAAACGAAGUCACGCGUCAGAGUCUACUGCCCUCAUGCGAUGGAAAGCGAGCGAGAGCGUCGAGACUCUGAGCAUUGUUGAUGCCACGCAAAAGCCGUCCCUCUGGGAGCUGAGGAGACGCUGCUGUCAGUGAGAUAAGUGUCUGGUUUCAUGAGGGCUCUGCUCACGCCCAACCUGAGUCCAGGUAGAGAAGCCCAGUACAGUAGGGCUGGGUUUGUAUGAAAAGGUUCCUGACUAGCUGUGGUCACGAGGGAGAAACGGUCCCUAUUUUGAGAGAUUGCUCAUUUCUCUGGUCAGGAACGGUGUCUCCUCUGCAGCAGAAGGUUGCAUCCAGGAGGAUGACUCCACGUGGUGAGUGCUUACUUUCCUCCGAUGUUUUCCUUUCUCUCUCUCUCUCUCUCUCUCUCUCUCUUCUCUAGUACGUUGGCCAACACACAACCUCUAGCUCUCUCUGUCUGUCCUUGCCUUUCCUCGUGUUGUCUCCCUUCGUAAGACACGGGCAGGCGUGCUACGUGUGCAUCCCCACAGGCUUUGUCUCAGGAGCCAUGGAGAAGUAGGAGGGGACAAAAAUCAUGCAGGGGAGUGGGUGCGAGAGUGGAGCGGUGACUGUCGGUGUGAACUCGGUCUCUGUUCAUCGAGUGGAGCUGAUGUAGAUGGGACUGGAGA